UGAGGGAUAUUGGGCAAUGGGGAAACCCUGACCCAGCGACGCCGCGUGAGGGAAGACGGUCUUCGGAUUGUAAACCUCUGUCUUUGGGGACGAAAAAGGACGGUACCCAAGGAGGAAGCUCCGGCUAACUACGUGCCAGCAGCCGCGGUAAUACGUAGGGAGCGAGCGUUGUCCGGAAUUACUGGGUGUAAAGGGAGCGUAGGCGGGAAGGCAAGUUGGAUGUGAAAACUGUGGGCUCAACCGACAGACUGCAUUCAAAACUGUUUUUCUUGAGUGAAGUAGAGGCAAGCGGAAUUCCUAGUGUAGCGGUGAAAUGCGUAGAUAUUAGGAGGAACACCAGUGGCGAAGGCGGCUUGCUGGGCUUUUACUGACGCUGAGGCUCGAAAGUGUGGGGAGCAAACAGGAUUAGAUACCC
This 415-nucleotide ribosomal RNA is filed under the name uncultured bacterium. RNAcentral describes it as "bacterial SSU rRNA". It matches the Rfam family "Bacterial small subunit ribosomal RNA", at positions 355 to 787 of the family's 1533-position model. The record is from RNAcentral.